GACGAACGCUGGCGGCGUGCUUAACACAUGCAAGUCGAACGGACGAGUGAGAUAAGUUUACUUAACUCACAAGUUAGUGGCGGACGGGUGAGUAACACGUGGAUAAUCUACCUGCAACACCGGGAUAACGCUGUGAAAACGGUGCUAAUACCGGAUACGUUCCCUUGUGCGCAUGUAUGAGGGAAGAAAGCUCAGGCGGUUGCAGAUGAGUCCGCGGCUGAUUAGCUAGUUGGUGAGGUAAAGGCUCACCAAGGCGAUGAUCAGUAGCCGGCCUGAGAGGGUGAACGGCCACACUGGGACUGAGACACGGCCCAGACUCCUACGGGAGGCAGCAGUGGGGAAUCUUCCGCAAUGGGCGCAAGCCUGACGGAGCAACGCCGCGUGGGUGAAGAAGGCCUCGGUUGUAAGCCUGUCUUAUGGGUAAGAAGUCAGUGACGGUACCAUAGGAGGAAGCCACGGCUAACUAACGUGCCAGCAGCCGCGGUAACGUGAGU
RNAcentral lists this ribosomal RNA (494 nucleotides) under uncultured bacterium. RNAcentral's name for it is "bacterial SSU rRNA". It matches the Rfam family "Bacterial small subunit ribosomal RNA", at positions 28 to 532 of the family's 1533-position model. The record is from RNAcentral.